This 846-nucleotide long non-coding RNA is filed under the name Fukomys damarensis (Damara mole-rat). RNAcentral describes it as "lncRNA (ENSFDAG00000026819.1)". Lineage: Eukaryota; Metazoa; Chordata; Mammalia; Rodentia; Bathyergidae. The record is from RNAcentral.
GUCCUCCUGCUUUAGCCUCCAAACAGCUCGCAAAAUGCUUUUCUAAUAAUUAUUUUUAAAGUGCUGUUGUUUAGCAAAAAUGAAUCCAUUAAGACAGAACCACAUUUAGUGUGCCCAGGGAAACGAAGGCCCAACCUAGGAAGUCUCAAUCGGCCGGCAGGUGUAGAUGGCCAAACCGGGUCAUUGGGUCCCCCCACCCUCUUCCCCCAUAAACCCAAAGUAAAUGAUAUUUUGCAUAUUUUAGGAACUCAAGGAGGGGCCGGGGAUGUAGCUCAGUGGUUCUGCCACCUGCCUCACAAGCACAAGGUCCAGGAUUCAAUCCCCAGAACGAAAAAAACCAUGGAAUUCAAGAAGCAUUUUGGGAACACAAAGCAAAUGACCCCCGAGACAGGAGGAGAGAUCUGGGACGGCAAGACUGCUGAUGCCAGGGCCAGGUGACUCACCCAAGGGCAUCCCGGGAGGGAGCAGAGAAACCGGCUGAGAACAGGAGCCCAGCGGAGCUGCCUCUGCUCUCCUGACACCCUGUCCACCCCCACACCCGGAGCCGGAGAAGCCAGGCUGCCGGGGAUGAAGCCACAGCACCCCAGAUCCCUGAGAGGCUGCCCAAAGGACAAGCUGUGAUCCCAGUACUCUGGAGGCUGAGGCAGGAGGAUCGCCAGUUUUGAGUUUGAGGCCAGCUUAGGCUACAUAGCAAGACCUGGUCUCCAAAAACAACAAUAAAAACAACACAAAACCAAAAUAAACUAUGAUGAUGAACAAUGACCCUCCCAAAUUUGUGUCCCCUGAACCCAAGCGGGUGACCUUAUUUGAAAGCAGGAUCCAAAGCCAGGUAUGGUGACACACGCU